Molecule: ribosomal RNA, 427 nt
Filed under: Idiomarina baltica
Lineage: Bacteria; Pseudomonadati; Pseudomonadota; Gammaproteobacteria; Alteromonadales; Idiomarinaceae
Description: bacterial SSU rRNA
Rfam family: Bacterial small subunit ribosomal RNA
Source: RNAcentral
AGUGGGGAAUAUUGCACAAUGGGCGCAAGCCUGAUGCAGCCAUGCCGCGUGUGUGAAGAAGGCCUUCGGGUUGUAAAGCACUUUCAGUGGUGAGGAAGGUCAGUAAGUUAAUAACUUGCUGAAUUGACGUUAGCCACAGAAGAAGCACCGGCUAACUCCGUGCCAGCAGCCGCGGUAAUACGGAGGGUGCAAGCGUUAAUCGGAAUUACUGGGCGUAAAGCGUACGUAGGCGGUGUGUUAAGCAAGAUGUGAAAGCCCCGGGCUCAACCUGGGAAUUGCAUUUUGAACUGGCACGCUAGAGUCCUGAAGAGGGUGGUAGAAUUUCCAGUGUAGCGGUGAAAUGCGUAGAUAUUGGAAGGAAUACCAGUGGCGAAGGCGGCCACCUGGUCAGAGACUGACGCUGAGGUACGAAAGCGUGGGGAGCAAA